AACUAGCUGUGGAGCUCGAUGAACUUUGUCACCAUCCAUUCCGCCUCUUGAUAGGCUUCCAGGGGGAGGAGGUGGGGGAGGUGGUCCACCUGGUGGCGGUGGUGGCGGUGGAGCACCUGGAGGAGGAGGAGGUGGUGGUGGAGCAGAUGGUACUUCGUUGGAAGGAUUUGCAUUUGUGGUAACAGCAGCAGCAGCACCACCACCAGAUGGCUUAGGAGGAGGUCUAGGCACCCUAGUAGGCCUUUUCUCAAUGUGAGCAAGCUUCAUCUUGCUAAUACUUUGAUUAUCAACAUUCUUUCCAUCAUCAGAUUGCUCAUUCG
RNAcentral lists this long non-coding RNA (320 nucleotides) under Glycine max (soybean). RNAcentral describes it as "long non-coding RNA (GMAX_LNC000325)". The record is from RNAcentral. Lineage: Eukaryota; Viridiplantae; Streptophyta; Magnoliopsida; Fabales; Fabaceae.